UUGGAGGGCAAGUCUGGUGCCAGCAGCCGCGGUAAUUCCAGCUCCAAUAGCGUAUAUUAAAGUUGUUGCAGUUAAAAAGCUCGUAGUUGAAUUUCGGGAUCAGUACGCUGGUCAUGCCUUUGGUAUGCACUGGUGUCACUGGUUUCUCCCUUCUGAAGAUCCGUGAUGUCAUUAAUUUGGUGUCGCGGGGAAUCAGGACUGUUACUUUGAAAAAAUUAGAGUGUUUAAAGCAGGCUCACGCUUGAAUACAUUAGCAUGGAAUAAUGAAAUAGGACGUUUGACCCUAUUUUGUUGGUUUCUAGGAUCGACGUAAUGAUUAAUAGGGAUAGUUGGGGGCAUUAGUAUUCAAUUGUCAGAGGUGAAAUUCUUGGAUUUAUUGAAGACUAACUACUGCGAAAGCAUUUGCCAAGGAUGUUUUCAUUAAUCAAGAACGAAAGUUAGGGGAUCGAAGACGAUCAGAUAUCGUCGUAGUCUUAACCAUAAACUAUGCCGACUAGGGAUCGGAUGAUGUUAAUUUUAUAAUGACUCAUUCGGCGCCUUACGGGAAACCAAAGUGUUUGGGUUC
This 565-nucleotide ribosomal RNA is filed under the name uncultured Glomeromycotina. RNAcentral's name for it is "SSU rRNA". It matches the Rfam family "Eukaryotic small subunit ribosomal RNA", at positions 548 to 1114 of the family's 1831-position model. Lineage: Eukaryota; Fungi; Glomeromycota. The record is from RNAcentral.